UGAGAGUUUGAUCCUGGCUCAGAUUGAACGCUGGCGGCAGGCUUAACACAUGCAAGUCGAGCGGAGAUGAGGUGCUUGCACCUUAUCUUAGCGGCGGACGGGUGAGUAAUGCUUAGGAAUCUGCCUAUUAGUGGGGGACAACAUUCCGAAAGGAAUGCUAAUACCGCAUACGUCCUACGGGAGAAAGCAGGGGAUCUUCGGACCUUGCGCUAAAUGAUGAGCCUAAGUCGGAUUAGCUAGUUGGUGGGGUAAAGGCCUACCAAGGCGACGAUCUGUAGCGGGUCUGAGAGGAUGAUCCGCCACACUGGGACUGAGACACGGCCCAGACUCCUACGGGAGGCAGCAGUGGGGAAUAUUGGACAAUGGGCGGAAGCCUGAUCCAGCCAUGCCGCGUGUGUGAAGAAGGCCUUUUGGUUGUAAAGCACUUUAAGCGAGGAGGAGGCUACUAGUAUUAAUACUACUGGAUAGUGGACGUUACUCGCAGAAUAAGCACCGGCUAACUCUGUGCCAGCAGCCGCGGUAAUACAGAGGGUGCGAGCGUUAAUCGGAUUUACUGGGCGUAAAGCGUGCGUAGGCGGCUGAUUAAGUCGGAUGUGAAAUCCCCGAGCUUAACUUAGGAAUUGCAUUCGAUACUGGUCAGCUAGAGUAUGGGAGAGGAUGGUAGAAUUCCAGGUGUAGCGGUGAAAUGCGUAGAGAUCUGGAGGAAUACCGAUGGCGAAGGCAGCCAUCUGGCCUAAUACUGACGCUGAGGUACGAAAGCAUGGGGAGCAAACAGGAUUAGAUACCCUGGUAGUCCAUGCCGUAAACGAUGUCUAC
Molecule: ribosomal RNA, 816 nt
Filed under: uncultured bacterium
Lineage: Bacteria
Description: bacterial SSU rRNA
Rfam family: Bacterial small subunit ribosomal RNA
Source: RNAcentral